RNAcentral lists this long non-coding RNA (1539 nucleotides) under Camarhynchus parvulus. RNAcentral's name for it is "lncRNA (ENSCPVG00000017380.1)". The record is from RNAcentral. Lineage: Eukaryota; Metazoa; Chordata; Aves; Passeriformes; Thraupidae.
AACCUUAUCAAAUGCUAUCAAACCCCAUCAAACACUAUCAAACCCCAUCAAACACUAUCAAACCCUAUCAAACCCUAUCAAACCCUAUCAAACGCUAUCAAACGCUAUCAAACGCUUCCCCUGCUAUCCCCCAGUCUCGCUGACACUGACACUGGGCCGGCCUGCACCCACCCGGCCCCUGCUGAUCCGGGCCCCCGCCCCCCCCCCCCGCCCCGGACCCCAAACCCCCGGUCCUGAUCCUGGAUCCCAAAUCCUCGGCCCCGAUCCCGGAUCCCAAAUCCUCGGUCCUGAUCCUGGAUCCCAAAUCCUCGGCCCCGAUCCCGGAUCCCAAAUCCUCGGCCCCCAUCCUGGAUCCCAAAUCCUCGGCCCCCAUCCUGGAUCCCAAACCCUCGGCCCCGAUCCCGGAUCGCGGCCCCGCCCCGGGGCCCUGGCCGUGGCUCGGGAGGGAUUUUCGCACGGGAAGCACUACUGGGAAGUGGAGCUGGGAGGCGGCAGUGACUGGGAGCUGGGCGUGCUCCGGGAGGAGGUGCGGGAUUCCCUGCGGGAUUCCCUGAGGGAUUUCAUCCAGGAUUCCUUCCCGGAUUCCCUGCAGCAUCCCCUGCAGGAUCCCAUCCCAGAUUCCACCCUGGAUUCCCUGCGGGAUGAUUCCCUGCGGGAUGAUUCCCUGCGAGAUUCCCUUCGGGAUCCCAUCCCGGAUUCUCUGCAGGAUCCCCUGCAGAAUUCCACCCCAAAUUCCAUCCCAGAUACCAUCCUGAAUUCCCUGCGGGUUCCUAUCCCGGAUCCCAUCCCAAAUUCCAUCCCAAAUUCCAUCCCGAAUUCCAUCCCAGAUCCCGUCCCCAGUUCCCUGCGGGAUCCCAUCCCAGAUCCCAUCCCGAAUUCCAUCCCAAAUUCCAUCUCGAAUUCCAUCCUGGAUCCCAUCCUAGAUCCCAUCCUGGAUCCCAUCCCGGAUCCCAUCUCAGAUUCCCUGCAAGAUUCCAUUCAGGAUCCCAUCCCAAAUUCCAUCCCGGAUCCCAUCCCCGAUUCCCUGAGGGAUCCCAUCCCAAAUCCCAUCCCAAAUCCCAUCCCCGAUUCCCUGAGGGAUCCCAUCCCAAAUCCCAUCCCAAAUCCCAUCCCCGAAUUCCAUCCCAGACCUCGUUCCAGAUCCCAACCUGGAUCCCAUCCCGGAUCCCAUCCCCAGUUCCCUGAAGGAUCCCAUCCCAAGUUCCAUCCCAAGUUCCAUCCCAGACCCCGUCCCGGAUCCCGUCCUGGAUCCCAUCCAGGAUCCCAUCCCCAGUUCCCUGAAGGAUCCAUCCCCAAGUUCCUCCCAGUUCCAUCCCAGACCCCGUCCCGGAUCCCGUCCUGGAUCCCAUCCCGGAUCCCAUCCCCAGUUCCCAGCGGGAUCCCAUCCCGUAUCCCAUCCCAGAUCCCAUCCCCAGUUCCAUCCCAGACGCCAUCCCGGAUCCCAUCCCCAGUUCCCAGCGGGAUGAUCCCUUCUCCUCCGUCGCCGAGGAAGCGGCGCCAGCCCUGGGGUGUUCCCGGGGGGAAUUCCGGCUGCGGGGC